RNAcentral lists this long non-coding RNA (573 nucleotides) under Equus caballus (horse). RNAcentral's name for it is "lncRNA (ENSECAG00000045147.1)". Lineage: Eukaryota; Metazoa; Chordata; Mammalia; Perissodactyla; Equidae. The record is from RNAcentral.
CUCUGUUCACCCAGCACCCCCACAUUUUGGGUUGGCAGGAUGGCUGUAGAAAUCCUGGGCUAAAGGAAGAAUAACGUAGACUAUAUUCAGCGCCCGAGGAAGCAUUUCCCAGUAGCUGAGAUCCUGCUGAGGAUGGGGAGAUGCUGAUAUUUGACUCCAGCUCAAGAGUGGGAGGCUGUGGUGCCCUGCCUUUCCCUCUUUGAAGCACACGUGUGAGGGGAGACACAGGUGGGGACUUAAGAUGUCAGAGGUAGACCACUGAGCUGACACGUCCAAGAAGGAAUCACGGUUCAGCUUUUGUCCAGUGGCACCUGCAACACAGUCAUCUCCCUGAUUCACCCUCGACCCCCAUUUCAGCAAUAAAACAUCUGCUUGAAAAGGAGUAAACCAUGCAGAAGGAGAAAGACUCCCUGCCUCUGUAGCUACUGAUGCUGAAUCCAGGUCACCAGUCCAUUCUCCAGUUGACUCCAUGAGUGGAACCCCCAGGCCUGGCUUCCAACAGGAAGGAUGCUGCUGAGCCUGUCCCACAUGAAAAUUGUAGAGCUCCCUACGGCAGGGUAGGAGUAAGACAAG